This 519-nucleotide ribosomal RNA is filed under the name uncultured Acidobacteriota bacterium. RNAcentral describes it as "bacterial SSU rRNA". It matches the Rfam family "Bacterial small subunit ribosomal RNA", at positions 385 to 896 of the family's 1533-position model. The record is from RNAcentral. Lineage: Bacteria; Pseudomonadati; Acidobacteriota.
GACGACGCAACGCCGCGUGGAGGAUGAAGGUCUUCGGAUUGUAAACUCCUGUUGCCAGGGACGAACGGCUCCGACCCAACACGUCGGAGAGUGACGGUACCUGGUGAGGAAGCCCCGGCUAACUCUGUGCCAGCAGCCGCGGUAAUACAGAGGGGGCUAGCGUUGUUCGGAAUUACUGGGCGUAAAGGGCGCGUAGGCGGCCUGCUAAGUCGAACGUGAAAUCCCCGGGCUCAACCCGGGAACUGCGUCCGAUACUGGUUGGCUUGAAUCCGGGAGAGGGAUGUGGAAUUCCAGGUGUAGCGGUGAAAUGCGUAGAUAUCUGGAGGAACACCGGUGGCGAAGGCGGCAUCCUGGACCGGCAUUGACGCUGAGGCGCGAAAGCCAGGGGAGCAAACGGGAUUAGAUACCCCGGUAGUCCUGGCCCUAAACGAUGAAUGCUUGGUGUGGCGGGUAUCGAUCCCUGCCGUGCCGAAGCUAACGCAUUAAGCAUUCCGCCUGGGGAGUACGGUCGCAAGGCUG